GGGGAAUAUUGCACAAUGGGCGGAAGCCUGAUGCAGCAACGCCGCGUGCGGGAUGACGGCCUUCGGGUUGUAAACCGCUUUCGCCUGUGACGAAGCGUGAGUGACGGUAAUGGGUAAAGAAGCACCGGCUAACUACGUGCCAGCAGCCGCGGUGAUACGUAGGGUGCGAGCGUUGUCCGGAUUUAUUGGGCGUAAAGGGCUCGUAGGUGGUUGAUCGCGUCGGAAGUGUAAUCUUGGGGCUUAACCCUGAGCGUGCUUUCGAUACGGGUUGACUUGAGGAAGGUAGGGGAGAAUGGAAUUCCUGGUGGAGCGGUGGAAUGCGCAGAUAUCAGGAGGAACACCAGUGGCGAAGGCGGUUCUCUGGGCCUUUCCUGACGCUGAGGAGCGAAAGCGUGGGGAGCGAAC
This 405-nucleotide ribosomal RNA is filed under the name uncultured bacterium. RNAcentral's name for it is "bacterial SSU rRNA". It matches the Rfam family "Bacterial small subunit ribosomal RNA", at positions 356 to 773 of the family's 1533-position model. The record is from RNAcentral.